This 253-nucleotide ribosomal RNA is filed under the name uncultured bacterium. RNAcentral describes it as "partial 16S ribosomal RNA". It matches the Rfam family "Bacterial small subunit ribosomal RNA", at positions 524 to 776 of the family's 1533-position model. The record is from RNAcentral.
UACGGAGGGUGCAAACGUUGCUCGGAACCAUUGGGCGUAAAGCGCACGUAGGCGGACUGUUAAGUCGGAUGUGAAAUCCCUCAGCUUAACUGAGGAAGUGCACUCGAAACUGGCAGUCUUGAGUAUGGAAGAGGGUCGCGGAAUUCCCGGUGUAGAGGUGAAAUUCGUAGAUAUCGGGAGGAACACCAGUGGCGAAGGCGGCGAUCUGGGAAGAUACUGACGCUGAGGUGCGAAAGCGUGGGGAGCAAACAGG